RNAcentral lists this ribosomal RNA (301 nucleotides) under uncultured bacterium. Its description in RNAcentral is "partial 16S ribosomal RNA". It matches the Rfam family "Bacterial small subunit ribosomal RNA", at positions 509 to 807 of the family's 1533-position model. The record is from RNAcentral.
CAGUAGCCGCGGGAAUACAGAGGGUGCGAGCGUUAAUCGGAUUUACUGGGCGUAAAGCGUGCGUAGGCGGCUUUUUAAGUCGGAUGUGAAAUCCCUGAGCUUUACUUAGGAAUUGCAUUCGAUACUGGGAAGCUAGAGUAUGGGAGAGGAUGGUAGAAUUCCAGGUGUAGCGGUGAAAUGCGUAGAGAUCUGGAGGAAUACCGAUGGCGAAGGCAGCCAUCUGGCCUAAUACUGACGCUGAGGUACGAAAGCAUGGGGAGCAAACAGGAUUAGAUACCCGGGUAGUCCCUGUCUCUUAUAC